CCUACGUGGGGCAGCAGUGAGGAAUAUUGGUCAAUGGGCGAGAGCCUGAACCAGCCAAGUCGCGUGAAGGAUGAAGGAUCUAUGGUUUGUAAACUUCUUUUAUAUGGGAGUAACGUGAGGAACGUGUUCCUUUUUGUAUGUACCAUAUGAAUAAGCAUCGGCUAACUCCGUGCCAGCCGCCGGGGUAAUACGGAGGAUGCGAGAGUUAUCCGGAUUUAUUGGGUUUAAAGGGUGCGUAGGUGGUUAAUUAAGUCAGCGGUGAAAGUUUGUGGCUCAACCAUAAAAUUGCCGUUGAAACUGGUUGACUGGAGGAGAUUGGAGGUAGGCGGAAUGCGUGGUGUAGCGAUGAAAUGCAUAGAUAUCACGCAGAACUCGGAUUGCGAAGGAAGAUUACGAAGCUAUAACUGACACGGAAGCACGAAGGCGUGGGGAUCAAACAGGAUUAGAUACCCGUGUAGUC
RNAcentral lists this ribosomal RNA (460 nucleotides) under uncultured bacterium. RNAcentral's name for it is "partial 16S ribosomal RNA". It matches the Rfam family "Bacterial small subunit ribosomal RNA", at positions 338 to 795 of the family's 1533-position model. The record is from RNAcentral.